AAAGAAUUAGUUAAAUUUAUAAUAUAGGUUUGUCGUUCCUAAGUUACUGUGUUUUCAGUAUUUUUUG
Molecule: transfer RNA, 67 nt
Filed under: Cellana nigrlineata
Lineage: Eukaryota; Metazoa; Mollusca; Gastropoda; Nacellidae
Description: tRNA-Asp
Source: RNAcentral